UCCAGUACGUAUGAAUUGAAUUGCAUGAAGGAAUAAUUGCAUGAAAACUUAAAGACAAUUGUCUGCACUACUAAAGGAAAAUAAGUGUAUGAAAAACUAAAAACAAAGUCAACUACUAAUCAAAAAUCAAAAGUUGCGGCUGCUAAGUUGUGUUGUUCCAAAUUAAAAUCUAACACCCAUAUAUAUACCUAAUCUAUGCGGCUAUUAUGGAAACAAAAAUUAGGGAAUUAAGACUCCCUUAAGCCACAGCCUCUCUAAUCCCUACGGGCUUCGGCCCUUAAUAAAAUCAAACCCAAAAUACAUAAAAAUAUGAGUUUUGGACUUAAUUAAAUUUGGAACAAUUAUCUUCAAGCCCAAUCUCUAAAAUUCCUCCAUCUUUCAUGCAAUUCUUCAUAAAUUCUCGAAUUUCCAUCAUCUUUUCCAUCCACGAGCAUCCAUCUCCAAUCCAUCUAAUUCAUGCGCCAAAACGUCACAAAUCAUGUACAACCAAUAUAAAAUCAUGGCGAAACACACAUCAAACUAAGU
This 525-nucleotide long non-coding RNA is filed under the name Salvia miltiorrhiza (redroot sage). Its description in RNAcentral is "long non-coding RNA (SMIL_LNC000315)". The record is from RNAcentral. Lineage: Eukaryota; Viridiplantae; Streptophyta; Magnoliopsida; Lamiales; Lamiaceae.